Molecule: ribosomal RNA, 959 nt
Filed under: uncultured bacterium
Lineage: Bacteria
Description: bacterial SSU rRNA
Rfam family: Bacterial small subunit ribosomal RNA
Source: RNAcentral
AGAGUUUGAUCCUGGCUCAGAUUGAACGCUGGCGGCAUGCCUUACACAUGCAAGUCGAACGGCAGCACGGAGCUUGCUCUGGUGGCGAGUGGCGAACGGGUGAGUAAUAUAUCGGAACGUACCCUAGAGUGGGGGAUAACGUAGCGAAAGUUACGCUAAUACCGCAUACGAUCUAAGGAUGAAAGUGGGGGAUCGCAAGACCUCAUGCUCGUGGAGCGGCCGAUAUCUGAUUAGCUAGUUGGUAGGGUAAAAGCCUACCAAGGCAUCGAUCAGUAGCUGGUCUGAGAGGACGACCAGCCACACUGGAACUGAGACACGGUCCAGACUCCUACGGGAGGCAGCAGUGGGGAAUUUUGGACAAUGGGCGAAAGCCUGAUCCAGCAAUGCCGCGUGAGUGAAGAAGGCCUUCGGGUUGUAAAGCUCUUUUGUCAGGGAAGAAACGGUGAGGGCUAAUAUCUCUUGCUAAUGACGGUACCUGAAGAAUAAGCACCGGCUAACUACGUGCCAGCAGCCGCGGUAAUACGUAGGGUGCAAGCGUUAAUCGGAAUUACUGGGCGUAAAGCGUGCGCAGGCGGUUUUGUAAGUCUGAUGUGAAAUCCCCGGGCUCAACCUGGGAAUUGCAUUGGAGACUGCAAGGCUAGAAUCUGGCAGAGGGGGGUAGAAUUCCACGUGUAGCAGUGAAAUGCGUAGAUAUGUGGAGGAACACCGAUGGCGAAGGCAGCCCCCUGGGUCAAGAUUGACGCUCAUGCACGAAAGCGUGGGGAGCAAACAGGAUUAGAUACCCUGGUAGUCCACGCCCUAAACGAUGUCUACUAGUUGUCGGGUCUUAAUUGACUUGGUAACGCAGCUAACGCGUGAAGUAGACCGCCUGGGGAGUACGGUCGCAAGAUUAAAACUCAAAGGAAUUGACGGGGACCCGCACAAGCGGUGGAUGAUGUGGAUUAAUUCGAUGCAACGCG